ACCCGAAACCCGGUGAUCUAGCCAUGGGCAGGUUGAAGGUUGGGUAACACUAACUGGAGGACCGAACCGACUAAUGUUGAAAAAUUAGCGGAUGACCUGUGGCUGGGGGUGAAAGGCCAAUCAAACCGGGAGAUAGCUGGUUCUCCCCGAAAGCUAUUUAGGUAGCGCCUCGUGAACUCAUCUCCGGGGGUAGAGCACUGUUUCGGCUAGGGGGCCAUCCCGGCUUACCAACCCGAUGCAAACUGCGAAUACCGGAGAAUGUUAUCACGGGAGACACACGGCGGGUGCUAACGUCCGUCGUGAAGAGGGAAACAACCCAGACCGCCAGCUAAGGUCCCAAAGUCAUGGUUAAG
This 353-nucleotide ribosomal RNA is filed under the name Salmonella enterica subsp. enterica serovar Typhimurium var. 5- str. CFSAN004345. Its description in RNAcentral is "bacterial LSU rRNA". It matches the Rfam family "Bacterial large subunit ribosomal RNA", at positions 713 to 1063 of the family's 2925-position model. The record is from RNAcentral. Lineage: Bacteria; Pseudomonadati; Pseudomonadota; Gammaproteobacteria; Enterobacterales; Enterobacteriaceae.